This 1649-nucleotide long non-coding RNA is filed under the name Macaca fascicularis (crab-eating macaque). RNAcentral's name for it is "lncRNA (ENSMFAG00000058802.1)". The record is from RNAcentral. Lineage: Eukaryota; Metazoa; Chordata; Mammalia; Primates; Cercopithecidae.
GAGCAGCGAUUGCUCGAUCUGUUUGAGAAAGCGUCUGACCUGGGCCUGAGAGCUGGGGAAGCUGCAGAUUCAGAGUGAGCGGCUGCGGAGGAGAGCCGCCAAGGCUGCGCGCCUUCUCCAUGCUCCCGCAGCUCCCGCCUGCGCAGCAAGAGGGCACGGGCGCACGGUUUGGGCUGGCAUGCUGCUCUCCCAGCCAGCCGCGCUCUGCUCAGGCCUGGAGGUGAAAGCCGCCUGCCUCCCGUUAUGCGCCCCAUACAGGAGCCCCGGUUUUUCACCAAAAGCCGGCCAGUCCCCUUCACUGCUGCCUCCCAGCAGAGGGCCCCAGGUUCUCCAAGGUCCCAGCUAUGGCUUUGGACAACGUGGCUUCAGUCCCUGGGGUUGCAGAGCUGCAUUGGGUUUACCUCGGUCUCAUUCGCUCACGGAGCCAAGGGCGGGUUUCACCUGGGAACAUCAGACUGACUUGCUGGCGUCAAGAGCAGUUGACUCACUGAUGAAGGCCCUGGUGAGAAGAAAGCACUCACUCUGUUCUUCGCCUACUCUGUAAUCGUUUUGUCAUGAUGAGCCAUGAAAAAAUUAACUUGUGCUGUUAAAUCGUCACUGUAAUGAGGUCUUACGUACGACAUACCUGUGGUGGCUGCAUGGUUUAAUAGCUGCAUUGGAUAGGAUCCUCACGUCACAUUCAGAACCAAAACUGACACAGUGAAACAAUUAAGGUGAGCACAUAUUUUUAACUUUUUUUUUUUUUUUUUUUUUUUUUUUUUUUUUUAGUUUCAUUCCUCCUAGAAUAUUUUUCUAACAAUUUUUAUUUCAGCUUUAAAGAUGGGUCAUAUAGCCAAAGGGGCCAUAUGAUCCAACAUUGCUGAGAUGUCUUAAGACAUUCUAAGGCAAAACUGGCACAUUUGUUCUGCAGACUGUUGCAGGAAUGUUUCUUCCUAGCAUUUCUAUAUUAUCUGUCCAUUCUGAGGAGCCAGUGAAUGCCCCAUAAACGCACCUCCUGUCAAAACCACGCCUGAGAGGUCCGGGCUGGGAGUGACAGGGUGCUUGGAUUCUGUUGGUCCUCUCAUCUCCCGAACUUACUCCUUUUUAUGGGUAAGUCAGCUAGGUUUACAGUCCCUUAUUUUUAAUGCCGAAGUUUUGACAGCAGGAAGAAAACAAUUUUUUAAAAAUUCUCAUUACAUAGACACACAAGAAUAUGUCACAUAAAGAAAAUGUGUUUAGAAUACCAGUUUUCUAUUUAAGCAUGAUAUUUUCCCAAGUAAAUUGCCAAGUGGACUUGGAAGUCCAGAAAAGAAAAUAAUUUAAAUUAAUGCUGGUGAUCUUAAUAAUAUUUUGUAAAAUGGUGCCUCCCCUUCUCCAUGGUCUGGUCAGUUUUGCACAGUUAGCGCCUGACUUUACAAGUUUGUUGUUCUUUCUAAUUUUGACUGAACUGAAAGCACAAAGAAGACUGCACAGAAAAUCUGGAAACAGUUGCAAGUGUUGGGAGGACGAUAAAAUCGAGCUGUCUUUUAACUUUUGUAUGUGUUUUCUCCGAAUUUGCUGGACUGUGCUGGCAAGGGCUUUGUUUACGAUCAAAUUGUACUAGUGUCUGCAGGGUUUGUCAGUACUCGUCAAAGCCAAGUCCAAUUAAAAAAAAAAAGUCUUUGCCCUCC